CCUUUGGCAGUGGUUACCGUGGAAACCGUCAAUGCAUCUCUGAGUCUCAGUAAGGAGAAGACAACCUGGCAGGUUAAACUUCAGCGACACAGAAAAACGGGGCUCUGAGAUGGAGGGACUAGAAGAGAAGACGACCAUCACAUUGAGCUCAUCAGAGACAUCCACGAAUCCAGCAGGACCUCGUGGGGAGGGUGAGGAGAGUGUCACCGGGGAGCAGGAGGGACCACCCUGCUGCGCCUCGACCUCCUCAGAGCACGACGGAGGAGGCCCGUCCACCUGUGAGCCCCGUACUGGACAGAAGCUCUUCACCUGUGAGCAGUGUGGGAGGAGUUUCAAUCACAGAACCAAUUGGAAGAGACAUCAGCUGAUUCACGCUGGACAGAAGCCCUUCACCUGUGAGCAGUGUGGGAGGAGUUUCAAUCGCACAGACAGUUUGAAGACUCAUCAGCUGAUUCAUACUGGUGAGAAGCCCUUCACCUGUGAGCAGUGUGGGAGGAGUUUCAAUCGCAGAAGCAGUUGGAAGAUGCAUAAGCUGAUUCAUACUGGUGAGAGGCCUUUCACCUGUGAGCAGUGUGGGAGGAGUUUCAAUCGCAGAAGCAGUUGGAAGAUGCAUAAGCUGAUUCAUACUGGUGAGAAGCCUUUCACCUGUGAGCAGUGUGGGAGGAGUUUCAAUCA
Molecule: non-coding RNA, 675 nt
Organism: Gasterosteus aculeatus aculeatus (three-spined stickleback)
Lineage: Eukaryota; Metazoa; Chordata; Actinopteri; Perciformes; Gasterosteidae
Source: RefSeq, a predicted model, not a curated record